This 484-nucleotide ribosomal RNA is filed under the name uncultured bacterium. Its description in RNAcentral is "partial 16S ribosomal RNA". It matches the Rfam family "Bacterial small subunit ribosomal RNA", at positions 30 to 507 of the family's 1533-position model. The record is from RNAcentral.
AUUGAACGCUGGCGGCAGGCCUAACACAUGCAAGUCGAGCGGAUGAAGGGAGCUUGCUCCUGGAUUCAGCGGCGGACGGGUGAGUAAUGCCUAGGAAUCUGCCUGGCAGUGGGGGAUAACGUCCGGAAACGGGCGCUAAUACCGCAUACGUCCUGAGGGAGAAAGUGGGGGAUCUUCGGACCUCACGCUAUCAGAUGAGCCUAGGUCGGAUUAGCUAGUUGGUGGGGUAAAGGCCUACCAAGGCGACGAUCCGUAACUGGUCUGAGAGGAUGAUCAGUCACACUGGAACUGAGACACGGUCCAGACUCCUACGGGAGGCAGCAGUGGGGAAUAUUGGACAAUGGGCGAAAGCCUGAUCCAGCCAUGCCGCGUGUGUGAAGAAGGUCUUCGGAUUGUAAAGCACUUUAAGUUGGGAAGAAGAGCAGUAAGUUAAUACCUUGCUGUUUUGACGUUACCAACAGAAUAAGCACCGGCUAACUUCGUG